This 497-nucleotide ribosomal RNA is filed under the name uncultured bacterium. RNAcentral's name for it is "partial 16S ribosomal RNA". It matches the Rfam family "Bacterial small subunit ribosomal RNA", at positions 28 to 507 of the family's 1533-position model. The record is from RNAcentral.
GUUGAACGCUGGCGGCGUGCCUAAUACAUGCAAGUCGAGCGAACGGACGAGAAGCUUGCUUCUCUGAUGUUAGCGGCGGACGGGUGAGUAACACGUGGAUAACCUACCUAUAAGACUGGGAUAACUUCGGGAAACCGGAGCUACUACCGGAUAAUAUUUUGAACCGCAUGGUUCAAAAGUGAAAGACGGUCUUGCUGUCACUUAUAGAUGGAUCCGCGCUGCAUUAGCUAGUUGGUAAGGUAACGGCUUACCAAGGCAACGAUGCAUAGCCGACCUGAGAGGGUGAUCGGCCACACUGGAACUGAGACACGGUCCAGACUCCUACGGGAGGCAGCAGUAGGGAAUCUUCCGCAAUGGGCGAAAGCCUGACGGAGCAACGCCGCGUGAGUGAUGAAGGUCUUCGGAUCGUAAAACUCUGUUAUUAGGGAAGAAAAUAUGUGUAAGUAACUGUGCACAUCUUGACGGUACCUAAUCAGAAAGCCACGGCUAACUACGUG